UACGAAGGGGGCUAGCGUUGUUCGGAAUUACUGGGCGUAAAGCGCGCGCAGGCGGUCUUCCAAGUCAGUGGUGAAAGCCCGGAGCUCAACUCCGGAACUGCCAUUGAAACUGUGAGACUGGAGUACGAGAGAGGUGAGUGGAAUUCCCAGUGUAGAGGUGAAAUUCGUAGAUAUUGGGAAGAACACCGGUGGCGAAGGCGGCUCACUGGCUCGUUUCUGACGCUCAGGCGCGACAGCGUGGGGAUCAAACAGG
RNAcentral lists this ribosomal RNA (253 nucleotides) under uncultured bacterium. Its description in RNAcentral is "partial 16S ribosomal RNA". It matches the Rfam family "Bacterial small subunit ribosomal RNA", at positions 524 to 776 of the family's 1533-position model. The record is from RNAcentral.